This 460-nucleotide ribosomal RNA is filed under the name uncultured bacterium. Its description in RNAcentral is "partial 16S ribosomal RNA". It matches the Rfam family "Bacterial small subunit ribosomal RNA", at positions 338 to 795 of the family's 1533-position model. The record is from RNAcentral.
CCUACGGGAGGCAGCAGUAAGGGAUAUUGGUCAAUGGGGGAAACCCUGAACCAGCAACGUCGCGUGAGGGAAGACUGCCCUAUGGGUUGUAAACCUCUUUUGUCAGGGAGCAACGCCGGCUACGUGUAGCCGGACUGAGAGUACCUGAAGAAAAAGCAUCGGCUAACUCCGUGCCAGCAGCCGCGGUAAUACGGAGGAUGCGAGCGUUAUCCGGAUUUAUUGGGUUUAAAGGGUGCGUAGGCGGAAUGCCAAGUCAGCGGUAAAAUCGCGGGGCUCAACCCCGCUCCGCCGUUGAAACUGGCGUUCUUGAGUGGGCGAGAAGUAUGCGGAAUGCGUGGUGUAGCGGUGAAAUGCAUAGAUAUAAGGAAGAACGCCAGUGGCGAAGGCAGAUGACUGGACGGCAACUGACGGUGAGGCGCGAAAGCGUGGGGAGCAAACAGGAUUAGAUACCCGGGUAGUC